AAAGUUCCUCUUCUACUUGUGUAGACUUUGGAUUAGAAAUGCAGCACACGCAUAGCAAUGCCUUGGCAGGAGUGCCACUGUCCUUUGGAAACUAUAAAUUGCCUUUGAACCUUUUGAUCAAUGGUGCCACUGGCUGAUCUUGUGAUUACAAAAAUGAAACUCUGGCUGAGGACUUUGGAUUAGAAAUGCAGCACACGCCAAGCAAUGCCUUGACAGGAUUGGCAAUGUCCUUUGGAAACUAUAAAUUGCUAUGGACCCUCUAUUGAAUCAAAUCAAUGUCUGACUUUGUGAUUGCAGAAAUAAAACUCAGCCCAAGGCUUGGGAAUAGAAAUGGAGUGUGAGGGAAGCAAUGCCUUGGCGGGUGCCCCACGUCCUUUGGAAACUAUUUCUUCCAAUGUACCCUUUAGGUUUGAAAACAAUGUGUGUCUUUGUGAUUGCUGCAAUAACACUCAGCCCGGGGGCUUGGGAUUACAAACGGAGCGGGAGGGAAGCAAUGCACUUGCAGGAACGCAGACGUCCUUUGGAAAAAAAAGUUCCCUAAAGCCAGCCACAGCAAGGACUCUGCCCCAAGCCCCCAGCCAAUUUCCCCCCAAAAAAACACAAUAUCAAACCAGCAACAACAGAAACACUCUACCCCCAGUCACUUAGCCCUCUCUCCCCCAAGCAAGCAAGCACCUUCCCAGCGCGCGCGAAACACCCUCUCUCCUCGGUAUCCUAGCCCAGAAUGGCUUGGCUCCGUUGCGGAAGACGUGGAUGCAGAGGACGCUAGCCCCCACCUUUUUCAGCCAUCGUGGAAGACUCUGAUUGGCCAGGGAGCGGUAGCCAUGUUAGGCUGCGCUAGGCUCCCAUUCAUGUUAGGUUGCAGAAACAAAAAAAUAAAUAAAAAAUAAUUUAAAAAAAAUAUUAAAAAAAAUUUUGGAAGGAAAAAAUUUAACGAAAAAUUUAAGAAACAAUUAUAGAAUGGGCCAACGAUGGUUCGAAUUACAUUGCCAGUUGUGCCCAGGGAAAAUGUUUCAAUACUCGUUUUAAAAAACAAGAACAAUACGAAAUAAUUACGAAACGAGAAACAUAAUGAAUAUUUGGACAACCCUAGUGGACAAGUAUACACAGGGACCACCAAAUGCAGCGCCCAAACAAGAGUCAAAGAACAUGAAAGCGCUGUAGACUAAUUCAACCAGAGAAAUCAGCCAUAGCAGAGCACUUGAUGAACCAGCCUGGACACAGUAUAUUAUUUGAGAACACAGGAAUGCUGGACCACUCCAACAACUAUCAUGUCAGACUACACAGAGAAGCCAUUGAAAUCCACAAGCAUGUGGACAACUUCAACAAAAAGGAGGAAACCAUGAAAAUGAACAAAAUCUGGCUACCAGUAUUAAAAAACUCUAAAAUCAAAACAGUAGAUGGGAACCAACAUUAUGAGGGCAGAGGAGCCCCAAGGACGGCUAAUGACUGAACGAAGGAAGCCCCCCAGGCAAGAGACAAACCUUUCCAAUGCUAAUUAGGGUGAUUAACUGAAACAUUAAUGCAGGUUUCCCAGUGACAAAGGACUCUUGCCAUACCCUGGACUCUCCACAGAUAUAUAUUUUUCCUUGCCUUGCCUAGUUUAUCCAUGCCUCACAGCCUCUGAGGAUGCCUGCCAUAGAUGUGGGUGAAACGUCAGGAGAGAAUACUUCUGGAACAUGGCCACACAGCCCGAAAGACAUACAACAACCCUGUGAUCCCGGCCAUGAAAGCCUUCGACAACACAUUAUCCAAGGAUAGUGAGGCACAGAGAUCUUUAGACUUUCCCCUCUCCCUUGAUCAACCUUCAAUCAAAUGCCACAAAGUGCAGUCUUACCCACAUUGGGUUAUAUGGCUUGUGUAGAUGGGCUCCCAAAUUAAUACCAGUUAAAGGAAGCAGCUAGGUGGCAGCAGUAUUGAGGAUGAUACAAUGGUGAAGUAUCAGUCAGAAACCAUGACAGUAGCACUUAGUGAAUCCUUAUUAAUAGCAUUUAAAGAAGGCAAUGAUAUAUCACUUUUGAGUAUAUUUUAUCUUGAAAAGCAUGUGAUGAGACAAUCUGAAAUGCGGUAUAGUUCUGGAAGAUUAGAGCCUUUUCUAGGCCAGAAGGUACUCAAUAGAGUUGUACGUGGAUUUCGUUUCUUCCAUUUCCUCUAUUUCCUUCGGUACUUUGAAAGCACAAAAUGGGAAGGGCCCUCCCCGUAUGAAAAUCCACCCG
Molecule: long non-coding RNA, 2216 nt
Filed under: Anolis carolinensis (green anole)
Lineage: Eukaryota; Metazoa; Chordata; Lepidosauria; Squamata; Anolidae
Description: lncRNA (ENSACAG00000043678.1)
Source: RNAcentral